RNAcentral lists this unclassified non-coding RNA (240 nucleotides) under soil metagenome. Its description in RNAcentral is "partial contains 5.8S ribosomal RNA, internal transcribed spacer 2, and large subunit ribosomal RNA". The record is from RNAcentral.
AACGGUCUAUACCUGCGGUACCUGCGGAGGGAUCAUUAACAAUUGUCCAUAAUGGAUAAUUUUAUCCAUAUCCACCUUGUGUGAAUCAUUGGAAUGUUUGUUGGCAGGUUUUAGACUCUCUCUGAGAGAGCUGUGAGGGUUGGUAUUGUUCUUUCAAUGCUUGACCGGCCUGCCAAUUUUAUUUUAUAUGUAAACUUGUCUAAAAUACUUUUGGUCUGAAAUAAAUAAAUUUGUAAUAAA